UCAAGAAUUCCUUUUUAACUAAUUUAUAUUUAACAUUAUUGUUUAAAACACAUUUCGAUGUCCCGUUAUUAAAACAUUUACUGAUUAUAUCUUUUAUUUAAUUUACCCACCUUGGCAGACCACUAGAACUAAAAAAUAAGCUUCAAUCCGUCCUAUGAAAAGGGUAGGGUAAAAUCAGAGAAACAGAACGCAUCUUGCAACAGGCAAAAUACACUAUAAUAUCUGAUAUUGUGGUCAAGUAAGAGGAUAACUUUUAUUUUGAAGCUAUUGCCAUUGUUAGAGCAUUCACUCGACUAUCUUGUCAAACAAUCUUUGCCCUCUUGAACAAGCUGAAAGACUUCCUGUUAGCAACCAGCUCGAGUACGUUUGUGCCUGGUAACCAAAACGGAUACGAAUGGUCUUGUUUAAAAAUAAAAAUAAACGAAUGGUCUUGUUUUGCUGACUGUGAACGUUGUUAUGGUGUUUAAAACGAGUAUUUCUAGAAAUAAACAAGGGGAAAAGCCAGCUGGCCACUUUGUGCAUACGAACUCUCUUGUUAGCGUGUAGCUAGCUAUGCUUCAAGCUAUUCACCUAACGUUUUAUAACAGUAUCUAGCUAAAUAGCUAACUUUACAGUACGUAGCAAGCUAACGUAAUGCUAGUUUUGAUUCUGUAUUUUUGCUAAUCCUCUUGACUAGCUAACAUUAUCUAAAAUGAUUUACCCCCUGCUUUAACGUUAGCUGACCAGUUGAUUUUAAGAUGAGCAAGCAACUUACAUUUAUUGUUGAGCACCUGAAUAAAGACCCCUUCAAGAAAAACGUUAACCUCAUCACCUUCGACUCACUGGAGCCAAUGCAACUGCUGGAGAUUCUCAAUGAUGUUCUGGCUGAAAUUUACACUAAGCUAUUGAUAUCCAUGAAGAAAUGCCUGACCAAACAGCAAAGAGAAUGUUCACUUUGCUAGGGAUGUUGAAAUACAAACCACCUGGGAAUAUGUCUGAUCUACAGGAGCAGUUUCAGACAGGGCCUGGUGACCUGUGAUUCACCCUAUCCUUCACUGGUUGCUGCAGAGGAUCACAGAGCUGAAGAAGAGAGCUUACCUGGCUCGCUUCCUGGUUAAGCUGGAGGUGCCUGCAGAGUUCCUGCAGGGUGGUGUCAUCACUGACACCCGUCACCAGUAUGAAGAACUAAUGGAACGAUUCAAGACCUACCAUAAGGAGUGUGAGCAACUGAAGAGCUCUGGCUUUUCCACUGCAGAGAUCUGUGGAAAAGUGUGACACCUUUUCAACCUUAGAACAUUGGUGCUAUGGAAGAGGAGAAGGACCAGCUGAUCAAGUGGAGUCAGGGUUCAACCACCAGCAGAUGCUGGAACUGGCCAGACAACUACUUGUGGAACAGGAGAGAGAAGAGUCUCUGGCUCAGCAGAAGAACCAACUAAUGA
Molecule: long non-coding RNA, 1418 nt
Organism: Oncorhynchus tshawytscha (Chinook salmon)
Lineage: Eukaryota; Metazoa; Chordata; Actinopteri; Salmoniformes; Salmonidae
Exons: 5
Source: RefSeq, a predicted model, not a curated record